Molecule: long non-coding RNA, 3312 nt
Organism: Canis lupus familiaris (dog)
Lineage: Eukaryota; Metazoa; Chordata; Mammalia; Carnivora; Canidae
Exons: 2
Source: RefSeq, a predicted model, not a curated record
GGCGGGGGCUCACCCGGCUGGCGCGAAGGCGGGGUCGCUCUGCCACGGCCGGCGGCCGCAGGCGGCGCCCAGACUGAAGUGAGCGCCCGAGCUUCACACUUUUAUCGGGAGGAGGAGCUGGUGUGUGUUAUGGUUGGAGAGAGAGAAAAAAAAUCCUGCUGACGUUUCCCUCUAGUUGUUGCUAUUGAAAAUGCCAGGUUGCUUCAAAGGAUUAACCACAAGGAAGAGGAAAAACACCCUCAGAGAAACAGUGGAGGGAGCUGCCUAAAGCACAUGAAGAAACCUGUUGGAAAGUGGCACAGAAAACGUAAUGCCAGACCUAAAUGUGUUCACAGGCCAACCCUGCAUGUCUUCUCUUGGGGAUUUCCAGAGAAGGUGUACUUGCCAUAAAGGUCUCCCCAUCUGUUCCGGGGUCUUGCUUGCCGUUGCAAUCCUGCCUCAGCCUCUUCUUGCUGGGAGAGUUGGGCCUGCCCAGAUACCCUCCCUGCCGGUGGGCUUGGGCACUCCUCGUGGUACCUGCUGUCUGGAACCUCUUUUAGGACCCUGUGCCUCUGGUCACUCUCCGUGGAGACCCUGGGCCGCUCAUUGUAGCACAUGACUUCCCAGGCCACUGCCCAGAGUGGGCAAGGUCCCGCCUUUGCGCUGCAGAGAGAUGAGCCAUCUGAACACCCCCGAGAGAUGGCCCCCACUAGGCAAUGACUGGAACAUUUAAACCGCCACCACCACCACCCUGUGUUGGAGCCAUGGCCUAAUUAUACUCAUUUACCUGCAAGCUGGUACUGUAUGUAAUGCCCUCAAGGGAAAGCCUGCCGUUCCAUCCCAAAAUAGAAAUUCUGAGAUACAAAUUCUGCCUCGAGAGGGACUAAGGAAGGAUUUUUGUAGAACAGAGCUUUUCUUCUCCAAAUGAAGGGCAUUUCCUUUUUAUUUUACACUAGGACCUGAAUGUCGAAACCAUGUUGUUGUAACUUCCCUAAUGAAAUGCCUGCUGGAGAAUGGAAAGGCUAUUUUAGUUCUGGUCUCUCUUGCCAUAAAAGGCUCCGGAAUCAAGGGGGUUAAGGCUGGCCCUGGAACCGGGGCAGCUAUUCCUUAUAUUGUAUCAAAAGUCUUUCAUGCUGCCUGGCCUUUCAUGUAGCUCUGAAGCAGCUUUAUCGAUCUAUGCUAAGUAAACAUAGCUUUGUUUUCGUCUUCCACCCUCCGCCCUCCCUCCCGGCACAGACUGGAGUUGGAUCCCUUCCAAAGCGGCUGCUGCAGCAGCUCCAGCCGCCUCCUCCACACACAGAAGCAGGGUUUCUAGGGUGAGGCAAUGCGUCUGCAAUUCGCAGAGACAAGGCAGGAAUUGUAAUUGUAGUUCAUCAUGUGAUGACUUAUGAAAGAGGAAGUUGGUAUGUUUUAGUCACGUAGACCCUGCCCUCUUGCUUAAGGCUGCAGGUCCUUUGAGAAGAGCAUUAUGAUAAUCUUUGCCAUCCAGAGUCAAGGUUACCAGGUUGGCUGGCUGCAGGGUGCUCCUGUACAUUCGGACAUGGACGGGCAGGUGGAUGCUGCAUGACGGGUUGGUGGGGCAGUGGCUUGAGGCUGGCUUUUAACCAGAACACUGAAGUGCUGCAAUUUGGUCUUAAGAAGUAAAGGAAAUAUUCUUUGGGGAACACUUCUGCUGAGGUUAGAUGAAGCAACAGUCCUUUCUAGCUCUAAUUUCUAAGAUUUUUUUUUUUUUAAAGUAAAAACCACAGUUGAGCAAAAGGAAAGCCGCUCUGUAUGAUACCAUCAAAAAGAAGGAAUAAGGGAAGUGAUCAGUUGUUAAGACCAAGGGAGCAGUUCCAGGUGAAAGCUCAAUGGAUGGAGCAAAUCUGAACUCCCCGCACUGAGAUUUACAUGGGCUUCCACUGCGUGAGCAUUAAACAUCUCAAAUCGGAAUCUGGUCCCCGGAGCUUACUCCAGUCGAGAUGCUCUUGUUAACACACCACAGCCCUGUCCUGACAGUCCACAGGGCAGUGUAAAAAAAGUGGUUCCUUCCAGAGGACCCUGAGGGAACUCAGCCCUGAGAACACGCAGCUGGGGGAGGGUUGCAUCUGUGUGCUGUCCACGAGGUGGUAUUCCUAGAGACUGCUGAGUUCAUGCACUUCACCCUAUACCCACAUGUGGACUCACAGCCUUCAUUCUUUAGAGUGCAGUUUCUAUUAAUAGCAUGAUGUUGCAACCAUACUAGAGCUUCUUAAACUCUGACCCUGGCAUAUUUGAAGGAGAAAAAAAAAAAAAAAAAAAAAACGCCAAACGCAGCCGCGUGUCACUUGGAUUUUUGUGAAUAACAUCCUUAGCUCCUUGUACUUGAGCAAAACUGCCAUAAGACUGGAAGAGCACAUGUGCUGCUCAGGGCUUUUCUACUUAAAAAAAAAAUUAUGAAUAUGUACUUGAACAUACUUGUUUAAUGAAUACAUCUAUACAUGAUAUGGAGAGUCCUGACAUAAAUGAACCUUCUGUAGUAGAUAGGAAAGCCCUUCUUCUAAGUAAUAGCAUUUUAUGAGACAGUUCUACUGGUUUUCAAAUUGCAAUACACUUUUUUAGAAAUACUUUCCCUCUGUUUGACCUCUUCCUGUAGCCUGCCUCCCCUGUGCACAGAAAGCGUUCGGAUAUUAAAGAGACUUUUGCAUGUGGAGGAGAUAAACUCUCUGUGGAGGGUCUAAGAAUCAGGCCAAAUAAAAUCACAGGAGCCCUUAAUCACCCACAUAUUAUACACAGAAGCUGUUAGUCACCAGCCUAUGUAUAAACAUAUGUAUAGGUCCCCAUUUAGAGUAAAAAUUAGGGUCUUGAUGUAGGCUAACUACUUACUGUGUCAGUAUUUAAAGAGCUAAGUGAAAAAUACAGACAAAGGAGAGAUUGAGGUCACACACUCGCUCAGUCUGCAAGGAAAUUUGUAGGAGAACUGGAAGGGAUUCAACAGCCAUUUGCUGCCAGAACCCUCCUAUUGACUUUUUGGAAAGAGUAUGAUGAAAUGUACUUUUCUGGAAAAACGUCUGAAUGCGGGUUUAACCGAUAUUUAAGACACUCACCAAAAUCUUUUAAAAGAUAUCACUAGGAAGAUGCUAACAAAAUAGUGAACUAACUUCAAGGACAAUGUUUGAAAAUACUAAGAUGGUAAAUUUUCUUUUCAUUAGCUUAUCUACUUAAAAUGUGACUUUCCUGCAUACACAUUCAAUAGUAAGGGACCGAAAAAAAUGGAAGAUGUUACAAUUCUAAAAGGUUAAGGAUAAUAUGGUCACUUGGUGUUUAUUUAUAUCUUUCAUCUGGAUAUUCAAAUAAAGAUAUUUCAACCAUAAA